AAUGUACUCCAUCCGUUUUAAAAUUCUUUUCUUAGAUUUGUCUAUAUAUGAAUGUAUCUAGUCACAUUUUAGUAUGUAGAUACAUACAUUUCUAGACAAACUUAAGACAAUAAUUUUGGGACGGAGGAGUACUUU
Molecule: non-coding RNA, 135 nt
Organism: Hordeum vulgare subsp. vulgare (domesticated barley)
Lineage: Eukaryota; Viridiplantae; Streptophyta; Magnoliopsida; Poales; Poaceae
Source: Rfam